Molecule: ribosomal RNA, 384 nt
Filed under: uncultured bacterium
Lineage: Bacteria
Description: bacterial SSU rRNA
Rfam family: Bacterial small subunit ribosomal RNA
Source: RNAcentral
GACGAACGCUGGCGGCGUGCUUAACACAUGCAAGUCGAGCGGUAAGGCCCUUUCGGGGGUACACGAGCGGCGAACGGGUGAGUAACACGUGGGUGACCUGCCCUCAGCUCUGGGAUAAGCCUGGGAAACUGGGUCUAAUACCGGAUAUGGCUUCACAUCGCAUGGUGUGUUGUGGAAAGUUUUUUCGGCUGGGGAUGGGCCCGCGGCCUAUCAGCUUGUUGGUGGGGUGAUGGCCACCAAGGCGACGACGGGUAGCCGGCCUGAGAGGGCGACCGGCCACACUGGGACUGAGACACGGCCCAGACUCCUACGGGAGGCAGCAGUGGGGAAUAUUGCGCAAUGGGCGGAAGCCUGACGCAGCGACGCCGCGUGGGGAUGACGGCC